AAAGUUUAGUUUAGUUGAGUUGAAUCAUUAGUUGCUGCUUUCUUAUUUGUAAUUGAAACUUAUUUUUGAUGAUUUGACUGACAUAAUCAGUCAGUUUGCUUUACUCUUAUUUGAGCUGCUUAGCUGUGUGCUAAAAUAGAAAACGUUAAGUUUAGCUUGCCAGCCUAGAAAGAUGUGUCAAACUGCAAACAUGGAGUAUCAACUUUUGAAACUGCCAUCAGAUAUGGGUAUCAUAUUGGAUGCUUGAUUGUUUACUGAAUGCUAGUAAUAGCAAGUAUGUUCUCCCUCAUGUUUUCGUGUCUAAUUUAAGACAGAAUUCUAUAUAUGUCAGGA
Molecule: unclassified non-coding RNA, 333 nt
Filed under: Hevea brasiliensis (rubber tree)
Lineage: Eukaryota; Viridiplantae; Streptophyta; Magnoliopsida; Malpighiales; Euphorbiaceae
Source: RNAcentral